RNAcentral lists this long non-coding RNA (326 nucleotides) under Setaria viridis. RNAcentral's name for it is "long non-coding RNA (SVIR_LNC003934)". The record is from RNAcentral. Lineage: Eukaryota; Viridiplantae; Streptophyta; Magnoliopsida; Poales; Poaceae.
GUGCCAGUCGGUCAAUUCGCCGAGGAGCAUGGACUCAAGAUUUUUUUCACGGUCCCCGUUGACGCCUACGCCAAAGGAAAAUAAGCGCCCUGUUUGCUCAGCACUACAGCAGGCGAUGGCAUGCUCAGCUUCGAAAUGGAUCCUGAUCGGGUUGCUGGACCACUUGUCACAGUGACAUGGCGUACCAGUAUUUCUGAACCACGAAAUACAACAGUCUGCAGGGUGUGCCUGUGUGGUCACUGAAUCUUACGCCUACCCUUUGUGCUGGCCUUGUUUACUUCACCCCCAACUCCUAACUUUAGCACUAUGUAAAAAGAAGAUUCCCC